AGGGGUGGACUUAAAUCAUGACCUGGCUGGAGGGCUGAGUUAGGGGAAGAGAAACCAACGUGGGACCACAGCAAGCAUAAGCAGGGAAAGCUGCUAUGCCACAACCAUCCAUGAGGUGGCGCACCAGUGUGACAUUUUCUUCUCCCCUCCACUGGUCUUGGAAAAGAGCAGCACCCAGAAUGACAGGGCUGCCCAGUGGCUCAGUCCUGCUGCCCUAGGAAUGGAAACUGGCUGUCUUGCUGAGCAGGGGUGCUGCUCUGUGUUACUGGCCCGAGGAGGUGAGAGGGGCAAUGCCUCAAGGGGGAGAAAUACUGGCUGAGGGGAUUCGUUUCCCCGGUGAAGGCUCCGCAUUGAACACGCUCACACAGCAAGGUGCAGCUG
Molecule: long non-coding RNA, 381 nt
Organism: Chelonoidis abingdonii (Abingdon island giant tortoise)
Lineage: Eukaryota; Metazoa; Chordata; Testudines; Testudinidae
Source: RefSeq, a predicted model, not a curated record